GCCGGGCCUGUGUGCGGGUGUGGAACCGGCGGGGAAGGGUGGGGGAACGACAGCUGUACCUGUGCUGGGGCAUAGACACACCGGGAAAGGAGGGAAGCGAACGCCGUUCCUGCGCCGGGGAUGUACCCGGCGGGAAAGGAGGGGAACGACAGCCGUACCUUUGCGCGGGGGGUGCACCCGGCGGAAAAGGAUAGGAACGACAGCCGUAGUGCACCGCGGGAUAGACCACCGGCACGCCGCCGCCAUCAACCGAAACGGCGGAGCCCCGCCCUCGGGACGGAGUCUCCCAUGCCCCGGUGACAGUGUCCGGACGGGACACUGGUCCCUGCGCGCCACAAAACACAAGCGAGCGGGAAAGGCACCGGCUCAGCAGGCAAGGCUUGAACCCAUCGAUCCAUUUCAACGAAUAUUCAUAAAAGAAGUAGUACGCUUAAAGGAAGAAUUCAAUGCUUCUUCUUGGCAGCAUGACAACAGAUGGUCAGGAUUUUUACUCCCACUCUUGAGAAGACUUCAGUAUGACUUUAAACCCCUGUAAUACUGAAGGGGGGGGAAACCCAAACCCCUAUUUAUUGUUGACAAAAAACUGAACAUGAGCCAGUAGUGUGGGCUGGCAGCCCGCAAAGCCAGACAUAUCCUGGACUGCAUCUAAAGGAGUGUGGCCAGCAGGGUGAGGGAGGAAAUUCCAUCCCUGUACUUUGCUUUGGUGAGACCCUACCUGGAGUGCUGCAUCCAGCUCUGGUGCCUCCAAAAUAAGAAGGAUAUGGAAGUGUUGGAGCAAGUCCAGGGAAGGCCACGAAGUGAAAAGGGAACUGGAACACCUCUCCUAUGAAGACAGGCUGAGAAAAUUUGUGCUCUGUCCCAUUUUACACUGUAAGUUUUCAGUAACUGCAGAGGUGACUUGUAAUUAUCAGUGAAGCUACAGCUUUGAAGCUGCAUGAGUAAGAUAAUUUUUCCAUUCUUUUUUUAAUGUAAAUGAGUAGUUGACUAGAUAUAAAUAAACCAAAUGCGUAACUAGA
Cyanistes caeruleus (blue tit) is the source of this 1016-nucleotide non-coding RNA. The record is from RefSeq and is a predicted model, not a curated record. NCBI's taxonomy places the organism in Eukaryota, Metazoa, Chordata, Aves, Passeriformes, Paridae.